RNAcentral lists this ribosomal RNA (200 nucleotides) under uncultured bacterium. RNAcentral's name for it is "partial 16S ribosomal RNA". It matches the Rfam family "Bacterial small subunit ribosomal RNA", at positions 29 to 256 of the family's 1533-position model. The record is from RNAcentral.
AAUGAACGCUGGCGGCAGGCCUAACACAUGCAAGUCGAACGGAGCAGCAAUGCUCAGUGGCGGACGGGUGAGUAACGCGUGGGAACAUACCCUUUGGUACGGAAUAGCCUCGGGAAACUGGGAGUAAUACCGUAUGUGCUCUUCGGAGGAAAGAUUUAUCGCCAAAGGAUUGGCCCGCGUUGGAUUAGGUAGUUGGUGGG